CCUUUGACGUUAGCGGCGGACGGGUGAGUAACACGUGGGUAACCUACCUAUAAGACUGGGAUAACUUCGGGAAACCGGAGCUAAUACCGGAUAAUAUUUCGAACCGCAUGGUUCGAUAGUGAAAGAUGGUUUUGCUAUCACUUAUAGAUGGACCCGCGCCGUAUUAGCUAGUUGUAAGGUAACGGCUUACCAAGGCGACGAUACGUAGCCACCUGAGAGGGUGAUCGGCCACACUGGAACUGAGACACGGUCCAGACUCCUACGGGAGGCAGCAGCC
RNAcentral lists this ribosomal RNA (277 nucleotides) under uncultured Staphylococcus sp. Its description in RNAcentral is "partial 16S ribosomal RNA". It matches the Rfam family "Bacterial small subunit ribosomal RNA", at positions 83 to 355 of the family's 1533-position model. Lineage: Bacteria; Bacillati; Bacillota; Bacilli; Caryophanales; Staphylococcaceae. The record is from RNAcentral.